Molecule: ribosomal RNA, 468 nt
Filed under: uncultured bacterium
Lineage: Bacteria
Description: partial 16S ribosomal RNA
Rfam family: Bacterial small subunit ribosomal RNA
Source: RNAcentral
GACGAACGCUGGCGGCGUGCUUAACACAUGCAAGUCGAACGGAAAGGACCUGCCUUUGUGGUCUGCUCGAGUGGCGAACGGGUGAGUAACAAGUGGGUAACCUGCCCUUGACUUUGGGAUAACUUCAGGAAACUGGGGCUAAUACCCCAUAGGUGCUCCUGCUGCAUGGUGGGGGAUGGAAAGUUUCGGCGGUUGGGGAUGGACUCGCGGCGUAUCAGCUUGCUGGUGGGGUAGUGGCUUACCAAGGCACUGACCGGCAGCGGGGCUGAGAGGGUGACCGGCAACAUUAGGACUGAGAUACGGCACAGACUACAACCGGAGGCGGCAGUGGGGAAGAUUACAUAACGGGAGGGAGCCUGCUGCAGCAACGCCGCGUGGGGGAUGACGGCCAGCGGGUUGUAAACCGCUUUCGCCUGUGACGAAGCGUGAGUGACGGUAAUGGGUAAAGAAGCACCGGCUAAAUACGUG